AAGUGUUUUUGUGGGCGUUACCCCAACCACGGCCUCCAAGGCCCAACGUUUCCCAUUUCGGCCGAUGGAUCUCACUGAUUAAGCGAAUUGCCCAUUGCCGAGGUCUGGACACUAGUGGAGACUCUGGAGAGGAACUCGAAAUUGGAGGCAAUGCUACUUGCGCUGACCUCAACCAAAAUCCGACCGUUUAUCCCCUACCCAGUUGAAAAUUUCCUCCAUACCUGCCCAACAAACCUCAAAUUCUCCCUUAAUGCUCCUCCAAAUUCUCUCCGAAGCUUUCCAGUAGCAGCCAAGUCUAAACAGACCCACCUUUCCAAUCCCCAUAAUAAGACUCAGGACAAUGGCAUCCCAAUCGAAGACCUCAAAUUCAUUGCCAAAUUCAAGUCCAGAUACAACUACAUUCGCGUUCUCGAAGUUUCUCGUAAAGCCGACCACCCUCUUGCCGGUUCUAGACUCCUCCUUCUAGAUGCCCCGGGAAACAUCCACAGCAUUUCCUUUCGCUUCAAAUUACUCACUGAUACCUAUUUCGACGUUUUCGCUACUUUGCCUCCCAUUUUGCCCCCUGGACCUGUGGCCGUUCUCGGAUUCGGGGCGGGUUCUGCAGCCCGUUUAAUACUAGAGUUGUAUCCAGACGUGGCUGUUCACGGAUGGGAGCUUGACCCAUCUGUGAUUGCAGUGGGCAGAGAGUAUUUUGGCCUUGAAAAGCUCGAAAAGCAGCACUCGGAUAGGCUUUUUAUUUAUAUUGGAAAUGCAUUGACGUUAAAAUCUAAUGUUAAGGACGGGCUUUCGGGCAUUCUCGUUGAUCUGUUUAGCAAGGGUAGUGUGAUCCCCGAGCUUCAAGAUCCAAACACUUGGGAGGAGUUAAUCAGGUGUUUGAGGAAAGGCGGGAGAAUCAUGGUGAACGUUGGUGGUCGUUGUGUGGAGGCGGAGGAUAAGAGAAGGGAUGGCGAUAUGGUUAUGGAGGAUACUUUGAAGGCAAUGCAUCAGGUAUUCGGUGACGAUCUUUUUGUUUUGAGUCUUGGAAAUCAAAAGGAUGACAGCUCUGUUGCUCUUACCGGUAAAUUACCGGAUUCUGAUGCAUGGAAAAAGGUGCUUCCGAAGUCAUUGAGGUUUUAUGUUGAUAUGUGGGCACCAUUUAGUUGUUAGUCUGGUUCAAAAGUUUGCCAUGCAUUUUUCAUCAUCAUCUGACUCACAAACAAUCAUAAACUCUGUAAAGGCUAGAAGGAUGUCAGAAAUAUUGGACUUACAAAUAGCAAAUUUGGAUCGCAAAUGAUAUCUCCAUCUGGGCAUAUCUUUAUGAAGGCCACUCGUGAGAGACCUGUUGAGGAAUUGAGCUUUCAAAUCCUGAUGGGAAUUAUAAGCCUGUAGUAGAGCCCACAUCAAAUCGUCUUUUUGAAUGUGUAAAUGUGAAAAUGUGAAAGUGCUGCAGAACCGCUAAAAGUACCUGAGACAUUUUAUCUUAAUAACCAAGUGAUGAUAUGUUGAUGGAGGAGACUAGGAGCUGUGAUGAGCAAUGGUUUUGCAGCAACCACCAAAGUUUUGACUCUUGUCGUCUCUCAUCUCAUCUUUGAGCUGGUCACUUAGUGUAAAUACAGCAACCAGAUUUUCUAUGAGAAUUUUCUUUUUUAGGUAUGGUAUAUUACUUAACCUUACUAAACAACAGUUGUACAGGAAUCUUAAUAUAAUACUAUAUUCUCAUUUC
This is an RNA transcript of Hevea brasiliensis (rubber tree), 1702 nucleotides long. RefSeq lists it as uncharacterized. NCBI's taxonomy places the organism in Eukaryota, Viridiplantae, Streptophyta, Magnoliopsida, Malpighiales, Euphorbiaceae. The transcript has 5 exons. The record is from RefSeq and is a predicted model, not a curated record.